AUCGUCCCAAAUAGGACGAAACGCGCGUCCUGGAU
This is a non-coding RNA of Schistosoma mansoni, 35 nucleotides long. Lineage: Eukaryota; Metazoa; Platyhelminthes; Trematoda; Strigeidida; Schistosomatidae. The record is from Rfam.